CCGCCUCUGAUCCUUCUCGCUCAAAUCCUAAACCCCUUCUUCCCCUUGAGCACAGCGGAGGAAGAAAUAAGCGAUUGGGGGAUUUCGAUCUCGCCCCAAUUGAUGGAUAAUCUCGUCCUCCUCUCCAAAUUCUCCGUCCCCGUAGCGGCUCCAAAUCUUUGCGAGAUCCCAAACAGGCGGCGAGCGGCUGGUUCUUCUCUUUCCCCGCUCCGUGCGGGACGCGGCAGACGAGUCGGAAACGGUGGGAGACGUCCCGGGUUCGUUUUCUUAGCCCUGAAGAAUGGAAGCAGCGAUCGAGCCCUAUCUGAUGCUGGCCAUCAAAAACUCAAGACACAUGUUUUUGGAAGUGUCUCAUCUUCAAGCAACAAAGAGCUGACAACUAGUAGUGGAGUAGCACCACCUCUGGUCCCUUCAUCACCGUCAUCCAUCGGUUCACCCCUGUUUUGGGUUGGAGUUGGAGUUGGUCUAUCAGUAAUAUUCCAAGUGGUGGCGGAAAAAUUAAAGAGACAUGCACUUCAACAAGCUUUCAAGACAAUGAUGGAUCAAGCAGCACCUCAAGGUGGACAAUUCAAUAAUCCUUCCUUUGGACCAGGCUUGCCUUUCCCGUUUCCUUCUACAGUAUCAUCACCUCCUACUGCAUCAACUCUGUCAACGGCACAUGUUUCUUCCCAGCAGCCUGUUACAGUAGACAUUCCAGCCACAAAAGUGGAAUCAACUUCAACGUCUGAAAUUGGAGAUGAAACUCAAUUAGAAGAGGCAAAACCAAAAAAAGCUGCUUUUGUGGAUGUUUCUCCAGAAGAACUAUUGCAAAGUGAUCCUUCUUAUCUAAAAGAGUCCAUAAAGGCAGGUCCAGUGGAGACUCAGUCCGUGAAGGAAGUUCCAUCAAAUGGAACUGUUAAGCAGGACGGAAGUGCUCCAAAUGGACAAUCCCAAUCUCGGAAGUCACCAUCUCCCUUGUCAGUUGAAGCAUUAGAGAAAAUGAUGGAAGAUCCAACUGUGCAGAAAAUGGUUUACCCCUAUUUACCUGAAGAAAUGAGGAACCCAGAGACUUUCAAGUGGAUGAUGCAAAAUCCACAAUUUCGCCAGCAAAUGCAAGAUAUGCUAAGCAACAUGGGUGGCAAUAAUGAAUGGGACAACCGACUGACUGAGUCCUUGAAAAAUUUUAAUCUUAGCAGUCCUGAGAUCAAACAGCAAUUUGAACAGGUAGGCCUCACUCCAGAAGAAGUUAUAUCUAAAAUAAUGGAAAAUCCUGAUGUUGCUAUGGCAUUUCAAAAUCCUAAAGUGCAAGCUGCCAUCUUAGAUUGCUCACAAAAUCCACUUAGCAUUGCAAAAUAUCAGAAUGACAAGGAGGUUAUGGAUGUGUUCACCAAGAUAUCGGAACUCUUUCCUGGUGUAUCGGGUUACCCAUGACCGACCUUGUGCACAGUGCUCCAUGGUUGUGACAAGUCAAUUUUUGUCUGCUCUUCAGCGAAUCUAGAAGCUGUAAAUUACGCAGCACAAUUUCAAAAUGCAGUUCAUGCUUGAGCCAAAUCUUUUGUAACUCUGCGCCAGCAGGUUAUCAUACAUCAUAACCUUAUAUGGAUGGUGUGCCCGUCUUCAUUUGUAACACUGGUCUUAUUCUUGAAGUUGAGGUAGAAGCUAAGAACAAGAGUUCCAGAUGCUCUUUGGACAUUGAGACCAGAAAAUUUAGUCAUUGGUUUGAACGUUCAGCAACUAAUUCUCCCAAAGCUGCUCAACCGGUUGGUUUAAUUGAGGAUCACAAUGAUAGUUAUGUUGCAUAAAAUUGUGUAUCAAAUAAUCUAUUGCUGCUCAUGAGAUUCAAAUUGGUUAUAUGACUGACUGGGUUCAGAAUUUUUAUCUACUGUUCCUUGGGAAGAUUUGUCGAGACA
This is an RNA transcript of Musa acuminata AAA Group (dessert banana), 1889 nucleotides long. It is a transcript of the gene named protein TIC 40, chloroplastic-like, with no coding region annotated. The transcript is spliced from 15 exons. The record is from RefSeq and is a predicted model, not a curated record. NCBI's taxonomy places the organism in Eukaryota, Viridiplantae, Streptophyta, Magnoliopsida, Zingiberales, Musaceae.